UGGGGCGUCGCCAAGCGGUAAGGCAGCGGACUUUGAUUCCGCCAUGCGGAGGUUCGAAUCCUCCCGCCCCAGCCA
Molecule: transfer RNA, 75 nt
Filed under: Janthinobacterium lividum
Lineage: Bacteria; Pseudomonadati; Pseudomonadota; Betaproteobacteria; Burkholderiales; Oxalobacteraceae
Also listed under: 1 other name
Description: tRNA-Gln
Rfam family: tRNA
About the family: Transfer RNA (tRNA) molecules are approximately 80 nucleotides in length. Their secondary structure includes four short double-helical elements and three loops (D, anti-codon, and T loops).
Source: RNAcentral